AACGAACGCUGGCGGCAUGCCUAACACAUGCAAGUCGAACGAACCCUUCGGGGUUAGUGGCGCACGGGUGCGUAACGCGUGGGAAUCUGCCCUUGGCUUCGGAAUAACAGUUAGAAAUGACUGCUAAUACCGGAUGAUGUCUUCGGACCAAAGAUUUAUCGGCCAGGGAUGAGCCCGCGUAGGAUUAGGUAGUUGGUGGGGUAAAGGCCUACCAAGCCGACGAUCCUUAGCUGGUCUGAGAGGAUGAUCAGCCACACUGGGACUGAGACACGGCCCAGACUCCUACGGGAGGCAGCAGUGGGGAAUAUUGGACAAUGGGCGCAAGCCUGAUCCAGCAAUGCCGCGUGAGUGAUGAAGGCCUUAGGGUCGUAAAGCUCUUUUACCCGGGAUGAUAAUGACAGUACCGGGAGAAUAAGCUCCGGCUAACUCCGUGCCAGCAGCCGCCGUAA
This 449-nucleotide ribosomal RNA is filed under the name uncultured bacterium. RNAcentral describes it as "partial 16S ribosomal RNA". It matches the Rfam family "Bacterial small subunit ribosomal RNA", at positions 29 to 523 of the family's 1533-position model. The record is from RNAcentral.